Molecule: ribosomal RNA, 497 nt
Filed under: uncultured bacterium
Lineage: Bacteria
Description: partial 16S ribosomal RNA
Rfam family: Bacterial small subunit ribosomal RNA
Source: RNAcentral
GACGAACGCUGGCGGCGUGCCUAAUACAUGCAAGUUGAGCGCUGAAGGUUGGUACUUGUACCAACUGGAUGAGCAGCGAACGGGUGAGUAACGCGUGGGGAAUCUGCCUUUGAGCGGGGGACAACAUUUGGAAACGAAUGCUAAUACCGCAUAAAAACUUUAAACACAAGUUUUAAGUUUGAAAGAUGCAAUUGCAUCACUCAAAGAUGAUCCCGCGUUGUAUUAGCUAGUUGGUGAGGUAAAGGCUCACCAAGGCGAUGAUACAUAGCCGACCUGAGAGGGUGAUCGGCCACAUUGGGACUGAGACACGGCCCAAACUCCUACGGGAGGCAGCAGUAGGGAAUCUUCGGCAAUGGACGAAAGUCUGACCGAGCAACGCCGCGUGAGUGAAGAAGGUUUUCGGAUCGUAAAACUCUGUUGGUAGAGAAGAACGUUGGUGAGAGUGGAAAGCUCAUCAAGUGACGGUAACUACCCGGAAAGGGACGGCUAACUACGUG